CUGCCUCCCUCCCCCCUGGCAUGCCUGGCACGGAAGUGAGGACCUGGCGGCUGGCUUCAGGGUCUGCAGAACCCUCUCCGUCUGCCUUGUGGUUCCCAAACGGAGCCUCAGCCCAUCCGAAGAUGGCCUGGAGACAGCUGCUUCUCGCCUGCUGUCUCUCAGCUGCUGUGCUCCUCACUACGCUGCAGGAGGGCACUGGUGCAUCGGUGGGCACCCAGCAGGAGGCAGGACAAGACGUUCGGGAAGAUGUGGAACAGAAGAUCUUCAUGCAGGAAUCAGAUGCUUCAAAUUUCCUCAAGAGGCGUGGCAAGCGGUCCCCAAAAUCCCAAGAUGAGGUCAACGUGGCUUUCUGGUACCUGGAGCACACUGGGGCUCAAGGUGGGUCAAAAGGAAGAUGGUGCCAUGACAGCGGAGAACAGGCAGAAGCUGCGGGCCAAUGAGCUUCGGAGAGAGUACUAUGAGGAACAAAGGAACGAGUUUGAGAACUUCGUGGAGGAGCAAAAUGAUGAACAGGAAGAGAGAAGCCGGGAAGCUAUUGAGCAAUGGCGCCAGUGGCAUUACGACGGCCUGCAUCCAUCAUAUCUCUAUAACCGCCACCACAUCUGACCUCAUUUUGACAGAGCAGGAAGAUGGAGCUUGAAACUCACAAACCUACCCCAGGUGUCUGACCAACGCCUCCACACCAGCAGGCUCCUUCACAGGGUCUCAACUGGGGGGGCUCCUGGGGGGGGGGGGGCUGCCGUGGUAAACACACAGGCCUUUUGUUCUGAUGUUUUAAGAUGUCCUGGCUUUUGCUUCUUUGCAGAUGAUUUUCUGAGGUGAGCAAACACCUGCGGGGCCUCCUGGCACCAAACCUUCAGUGACGUCCCCUUAUUUAGCCUUUGUUCCCACAGUUAAGACUCCUGUCCUGUAGAACAAUGAGAAGGGUCGCAAUAAAGACGACAGAUGACGUGUUCGCUUAAGGCUUAGAAAUAAAAUUGCUGAGUCAACACUGUA
Leopardus geoffroyi (Geoffroy's cat) is the source of this 996-nucleotide RNA transcript. It is a transcript of the gene named upper zone of growth plate and cartilage matrix associated, with no coding region annotated. The record is from RefSeq and is a predicted model, not a curated record. The transcript has 6 exons. Lineage: Eukaryota; Metazoa; Chordata; Mammalia; Carnivora; Felidae.